Long non-coding RNA from Nematolebias whitei (Rio pearlfish), 372 nucleotides. RefSeq lists it as uncharacterized. The transcript has 4 exons. Lineage: Eukaryota; Metazoa; Chordata; Actinopteri; Cyprinodontiformes; Rivulidae. The record is from RefSeq and is a predicted model, not a curated record.
GACGUACUUACUGCAUACAUGCAACGGGUUAUGACGUCAUUGGUAGAGCGUCGAGUGGAUUGUUCGCUUUCGCCUCCCUCUUUGAAAUGAGAGCUAAGUGGCGAAAGAAGCGCAUGCGCAGGCUGAAGCGCAAAAGAAGAAAGAUGAGGCAGAGGUCCAAGUGAAGUGUCCUCCUGGUCCAGCUGUUCCGUCUGUGUUGGAAGCUGGACAUCCUUGAAGCCUGAGGACAAAUGAAUCAGCAGCUUGAUGCUCAGGAGGCGACUUGAACCCUGCUUGUUGGCAGGCUUUUUCUUUGGGACAUUCUGAACUCCUCAGUUCUUCAACUUUUGUCAUUUGUUUGUUCAUGCUGUGAUUAAAAGUUUUGGUUUUUAA